CUCUCUCUCCCUCCUCCAGCGAAAAGUCUCCUCCCCCUCGCCUCCUUUGACCUCCACCCCCCAUCUCUCUCUAUCUCUCUAUUUGUCUCUGCGAGACCGCCAUGGCCCUAUGAUCCCAUGGCGAGAGGAGCUCAACCCUAAUAGUAGCUUCGGUGUGGAGUCGUAGCGCUCUCUCUCUCACUCGGGCCCGUCUCCUUUCGGUAGGUAGUUGACCUCAUCCCAAGCAACCCCGUUUUCGUGGGGUUUUGGGGGCGUAAUCUCGAAGCCAUCAUCUUGAUGUUGAAGAAGGGGUGAGGUCGAAGAAGGUUUGGGUUGGUGAUUGGUGUGGGAGAGGCGAAAUGGGGGUGGCUCUUCUUUCUCUCCUGCUGACCCUUCUUCUAGGGCUUGGUCGGCCUUUGUGGGCGCUGAGGCCUUUACGGGAGAGGGCUUCUAAUGCUGUUGUUGGAUCUUGGGAUGAUGAGCAUGCUUUCCUUAAACGAGAGGAUGGUGAGCAAAGUCCCUAUUCUGAAUGGAAUAUUACAGGAACAUAUAAAGGAAGGUGGAGCUUUGAAGAGACAACAAAUGGGUCUUCUAGGUUUCUAGAAUUUGGAAAAUCUGAUGGUGUAUCCGUCUUGGAAUUAAUCAGUACUCCGACAAAGAUAAGAGGCGUACACUAUAUUCAGGGAUCAAUUACUUUUCAUGAUGUGUUUUACAACGAACAUGAUCAUGGAGUUGCUCAAAUAAGAGUAGAAGGUGUAUAUGUAUGGCCUUUCAGGCAACUACGAAUGGUAGCAAACAGUGGAGCAGAUGGUGAGCCACUUCAAGAAGAGGAAUACUUCUUAUCCAAUCCAUAUCAUUUGCUCGGAGUUUUCUCUUCUCAAGUGUUUCAAGAAUCUUCUAGAAGCAAAUAUCGGAGGAAAAACGCUCUCACGAAUGACAUGGAGAAACAUUGUAACAUAGAGAUAGCUGCUCAGGUUUCACGUGUCUCAUCUGGCCAAAAUGAGGGAGAUCAUGAAAGAUACCAUUUGGAGGGUUUAAUGGAUAGUCCUGCAGUUGAUGAUGAUGGGGAGUGUUUCUCACCAAUUCUACUUAAUGCAACUUCAUUAAAUAUUGAAGUUUAUUACAAUAAAGCAGUUAAUUAUACACUGAUGGUCACAUUUAUCUCGUUUCUUCAAGUACUACUGCUGAUUAGACAAAUGGAGCAUAGCAACACUCAGUCUGGUGCAGCUAAAGUGUCUCUCCUAAUGAUUGGCCAACAAGCUAUUAUGGAUGCCUACCUUUGUCUUUUGCAUUUGACUGCUGGGAUACUAGUUGAGUCACUCUUUAAUGCUUUUGCAACGGCGGCCUUUUUUAAAUUUGUCGUAUUUUCCAUAUUUGAGAUGAGAUAUCUUCUUGCAAUAUGGAAGGCGAGUAGACCUUUGAAUAGUGGAGAAGGUUGGGAAGCAAUGAGGCGCGAACUCUCUGUUCUGUAUAGUCGUUUCUAUGGCAUUCUAUUGGGAGGCAUACUUGUCAUGUAUGAGUUACACAAUUUCUUGCGCCCUAUUCUUUUUAUCAUGUAUUCAUUUUGGAUACCCCAAAUAGUGACAAAUGUCAUUCGCGACACGAGAAAGCCCCUGCACCCUUACUAUGUAUUAGGCAUGACUCUCACUCGGCUUGCUAUUCCAUUAUACAUUUUCGGUUGUCCAAACAAUUUCAUGCGCAUCGAGGCCGACCAGAAAUGGUGCAUAUUCUUGGUAGUAUUCAUGGGAAUUCAAGCAUCGAUCCUCCUCCUCCAGCAUUACCUGGGGUCUCGAUGGUUCAUUCCGCGUCAGAUCUUACCUGAAAAAUACAGCUACUAUAGGAAGCUCGAGAACAACGACACAAGUCAAGCUACAGAUUGUGUUAUUUGCAUGACCGCAAUCGACCUUUCACAAAGAUCAAACGACUACAUGGUGACUCCUUGCGAUCAUUUGUUCCAUUCUGGGUGCCUACAAAGAUGGAUGGACAUAAAGAUGGAGUGCCCUACGUGCCGCCGUUCUCUCCCCCCAGCAUAAGGAAUUAACCUUGGUUUGUAACAUAGUUGCCAAAUAAACACAUAGCUCAGCUUAUAGAGCUUGCUUUUUAUUGGUAAGAUGGACGGAAAUACGGUGGAGGGAUAUGAAAGUCGGUCAUCAUGUAUUCCUUAUUAGGUCUACAGAAAAUACUUGAUACAUUUGACCGAAAAAAAAAAAAACCAAAAAAUAUGGUAGUUUUCCGACUAGAAUUUCGUGAGUUCAUGUAUCAUAUCUAAUGUUGUAUAUUUCCCGGCAUUUAUCUUAAUCUAGUGCUUAUAAUGUACAUGGGUGUACUUUUUUCUUUAACAAUUUUAUUUUUAGUCCGAAAAGGACCUGUAAAAGCUGUUAUAUCCUGUUAUAUAACAAGUGUGUUAAAAAAACCUUUUGAAGUGAUUAGUGUAGCCGUACAUAAUCUUUUUAUUUUA
Ananas comosus (pineapple) is the source of this 2437-nucleotide RNA transcript. It is a transcript of the gene named transmembrane E3 ubiquitin-protein ligase 1-like, with no coding region annotated. The transcript is spliced from 15 exons. Lineage: Eukaryota; Viridiplantae; Streptophyta; Magnoliopsida; Poales; Bromeliaceae. The record is from RefSeq and is a predicted model, not a curated record.